Molecule: non-coding RNA, 1245 nt
Organism: Electrophorus electricus (electric eel)
Lineage: Eukaryota; Metazoa; Chordata; Actinopteri; Gymnotiformes; Gymnotidae
Source: RefSeq, a predicted model, not a curated record
UUCACAGCACUGGGCUUACUGGGGAGGUUAUCUGUAGCUGCUAGGUGGAGGUGUGUGUGUGUGUGUGUGUGUGUGUGUGUGUGCGCGUGCGCGUAUACGUGCUUUGUGCAUGUGUGUAUGUCUGCAAGGGUUGUGUGUGUGUGCAUAGACUGAUUGAACGGUGUUAGGAGGUACUUGACGUGCUCGGUUUGCCAGCACGGGGCAGAAGCAGGCCGCGGGCUAACAGGUUUCUCACUUGACUUUGGGGAACAAAAGAAAGGCUCCGCUGGGGAGGCGUGAGUCAUACACUGGCCCAGCUAUUUCUGGGGACUCUGGAUCCAUCCCAUCCAGGAGACGGCACAAAGCAAAACCAGGACACCUGCUCUUCUCAGAUCACAGCUCCAUGCUGUUAACAGCGUUAGGGGGAAAAACAUCUACAGAGCCAAUCAAUCUGGCCACGUGGAAGGAAGAAAUGAACAAGUCAAGGAAGGGAAACAAACCCAGCUCCGGGAGAAGCCACUGGCUGAGGGUUCAGACACGAACCCUCACACACGAACAAACACAGCAAACAACCUCCAGGACUCCAGUUUGGAGUUUGCUGGAUAUCAGGGCAGGGGCACGGGGUCACAUGUCAGAAGGUGUCCAACCUACCCACCGCUUUGCUAUUUAGUCCAGACAAGUGAGAAGACGAGUGAGAAGAAAACACUACCAUCGGCUGUGCUGCAUGACUGGGGCCUGAAGUGGAAGCAGGCCAAACCCAGUCUACCUCCAACAUGCUCUACAAGCAUACGAGCUUCUGUUUCACUCACUGUGGUUUGCUUUUAAAGGCUAACCUGGCUAACAGCGAGCAGAAAAUGGGACUGUUUAUGGUUUUACUGACAUUGCUUUGCAUAAGUAAUCACCCCCUUGAACAUUUUCAUAUCUUGGUGGUACAUCUUGCAACUGAAAUUAACUUGUUGAAGUGUGAAGUCAAAAUAAUUAUAAUUAUUUAACUUAUCCAUACAUAAAAAAACCAAAAAUAAAUAAAUAAAUAAAAUAAAAUAAACCCCAUAGAAACUGAUAAGCAUAAGUAUUCACUAAGCAUGAGCAUUGCUGUGAACACAGUUAAAUUAGUUCUGGUGCAUUCACUUGCCAUCAGAAGCCCCCUAAUAAGUUGGGUAGAGUACAACUGUGUGAAGUUAAUGUUGGGAGCAGACUGCAUAAUAUUUUUGUCUUUCAUGAUGGUCACUACCAUGUUCGCUAUAUGUAAACAGAAGUCCUCAGAGG